Molecule: ribosomal RNA, 433 nt
Filed under: uncultured bacterium
Lineage: Bacteria
Description: partial 16S ribosomal RNA
Rfam family: Bacterial small subunit ribosomal RNA
Source: RNAcentral
AACGAACGCUGGCGGCAUGCCUAACACAUGCAAGUCGAACGAGACCUUCGGGUCUAGUGGCGCACGGGUGCGUAACGCGUGGGAACCUGCCCUUAGGUUCGGAAUAACUCCCCGAAAGGGGUGCUAAUACCGGAUAAUGUCUUCGGACCAAAGAUUUAUCGCCUUUGGAUGGGCCCGCGUUGGAUUAGCUUGUUGGUAGGGUAAAAGCCUACCAAGGCGACGAUCCAUAGCUGGUCUGAGAGGAUGAUCAGCCACACUGGGACUGAGACACGGCCCAGAAUCCUACGGGAGGCAGCAGUGGGGAAUAUUGGACAAUGGGCGAAAGCCUGAUCCAGCAAUGCCGCGUGAGUGAUGAAGGCCUUAGGGUUGUAAAGCUCUUUUACCCGGGAUGAUAAUGACAGUACCGGGAGAAUAAGCUCCGGCUAACUCCGUG